AUUUGAUGUGCAUGAGUUGGUUAUUAUGACCAACAUAACAUUCAAGUAUGUUUGACCAGGCCCGUGUGAGCACAAAAAAGGGCUAAACCAACGUAGUGAUGGACAGUGAAAUAAGACAGAUUAUUAACAGGCAGUACCAUAAAUACUAACCAGAUGUAUAGGCCCAAGUUUGGGUCUGACAUAAAUUUAGACAGUCAGAAGCAACACUUA
This is a non-coding RNA of Pelobates cultripes (western spadefoot toad), 210 nucleotides long. Lineage: Eukaryota; Metazoa; Chordata; Amphibia; Anura; Pelobatidae. The record is from the annotation of a GenBank genome assembly.